GACAGAGGGGGCAAGCGUUGCUCGGAAUUACUGGGCGUAAAGGGCGCGUAGGCGGGAUGGCAAGUCGGUCGUGAAAUCCCUCGGCUCAACCGAGGAACGUCGAUCGAUACUGCUGUUCUUGAGGAUUGCAGAGGAGACUGGAAUUCCCGGUGUAGCGGUGAAAUGUGUAGAGAUCGGGAGGAACACCGGUGGCGAAGGCGGGUUUCUGGGCAAUUCCUGACGCUGAGGCGCGAAAGCGUGGGGAGCAAACGGG
This 253-nucleotide ribosomal RNA is filed under the name uncultured bacterium. RNAcentral's name for it is "partial 16S ribosomal RNA". It matches the Rfam family "Bacterial small subunit ribosomal RNA", at positions 524 to 776 of the family's 1533-position model. The record is from RNAcentral.